GAUGAACGCUGGCGGCGUGCCUAAUACAUGCAAGUCGAGCGAACAGACGAGGAGCUUGCUCCUCUGACGUUAGCGGCGGACGGGUGAGUAACACGUGGAUAACCUACCUAUAAGACUGGGAUAACUUCGGGAAACCGGAGCUAAUACCGGAUAAUAUAUUGAACCGCAUGGUUCAAUAGUGAAAGACGGUUUUGCUGUCACUUAUAGAUGGAUCCGCGCCGCAUUAGCUAGUUGGUAAGGUAACGGGUUACCAAGGCAACGAGGCGUAGCCGACCGGAGUGGGGGAUAGGCCACACUGGAAGGGGGACGGGGUCCAUAGGCCUACGGGAGGGAGCAGAAGGGAAUGGGCCGCAACAGGGGGGAACCUUGCGGAACAGCGCCACGUGAGUGGUGGAGGUCUUGCGAGCGGAAAAACCGGUUUUGAGGGAAAAACAAAUUUGGAAGGAACUAUGCACGUAUUGACGGUACCUAAUCAGAAAGCCACGGCUAACUACGUG
RNAcentral lists this ribosomal RNA (497 nucleotides) under uncultured bacterium. Its description in RNAcentral is "partial 16S ribosomal RNA". It matches the Rfam family "Bacterial small subunit ribosomal RNA", at positions 28 to 507 of the family's 1533-position model. The record is from RNAcentral.